CGAGGUGUAGCUCAGCUGGUAGAGUGCUUGGUUUGGGACCAAGAUGCCGCAGGUUCGAGUCCUGUCACCUCGACCA
Molecule: transfer RNA, 76 nt
Filed under: Clostridia bacterium
Lineage: Bacteria; Bacillati; Bacillota; Clostridia
Also listed under: 2 other names
Description: tRNA-Pro
Rfam family: tRNA
About the family: Transfer RNA (tRNA) molecules are approximately 80 nucleotides in length. Their secondary structure includes four short double-helical elements and three loops (D, anti-codon, and T loops).
Source: RNAcentral